CAAAUUUUGCUUUCUAUUUAGAGAUUAAAUCUUUUAAACUAAAUAUUUGUAGUUACUAACUUUUUUUUUUUUUGGCAAUCCUUUGCAGUUUAUAAACCAGCUUCACACAGCUUUACAUCUUUUCAUAUAUCUUUUACUUAAAAUAGGGACUGGUUUCUUCAUAAGGCAAUAGUAAUACCAAUUACUGAGGUGAGGAUAAUGGUUUUGUCCAAGGACAGGGUUUUAGUGCCUAAUCUCUGACUCCAGUUGGAGUUUUCUCUGACAGCAAAGCUUUAUCUUUCUCACUGAAGUAACCCUUGGUUGUUUUGAUUUCAUUUUUAAACUCAAAUGUUGCUCUCUUGGUCAGCCAAUCAGAGACAUCCUCUAAAUUGCAGCGUAAUGACAGACGUUUGUGGUUAGAUAGUAACUCUUACUUGAGAAAACCUACAAGAAGGCCACACUUCCAAGCCCUCCACAGGUACAAUUCUCAAAUAACAAUGUUCUUAGCCCGGUUGUCUUUCUUCUUUGUGUUUGCUGUUCUCACGGUUGACAGUAACUCAGAAUGUGUGCUGCCUCUGACAGAUCCCCAUGCCUGGGAAUUGGGAGAAUCCUAACCCUGGACAACUGGCAGUGGAAGACAGUGAUCUCUGGAGAAAGGGAAUCAAGUGAGGCUGGCCAUGGUGGCACACACCUCUAAUCCAGCACUUAGAAGCUGCAAAACUGGAAGAAUUCAUCACUGGCACCCAGAACAGCAAGGAAUCUUCAGGGGGAAGAAGUUUAAAGAAGUCUUCAAGGGGUGGUGCACACCUGCAAUCCCAGCACUUGGGAGGCUAAGGCAGGAGGAUCACCAAGAGUUGGAGGCCAGCUUGAGCUAUACAGGGAGUUCAAGGCCAGCCUGCAUUACAAAGUGAAACCCUGUCUCAAAAACAAACAAACAAAAAACAGGAGAGAGAAGAGACACACAGUAACAUGGUAGUCUUACAAUGUGCUUGAGUGAUUGAUUUUUGCAGAACUGGGGAUUGAACCCAGGGCUUUCACACUGAGCUGCAUCCCCAUUACAUUUUAUUUUUUAUUUUGAGAUACCAUCUCUCUUAAGUCCUUAAACUGCCCAGGCUGGACUUGAACUCACAAUCCUCUUGCCUCAACCUAGAAUGCUGGGAUUACAGGCCUGUACCACCACACCCAGUUUUACAAUGUGAUUUAUGAUAGAGGCUUUGAAUGUGCGUAUGGGUACCAACCUGUGAAUAACAUAUGGGUAUGAACUGCAGACUUAAGGUCGACCAUGUAUGUGAUUGCCCCGGUUAAAAACUCUGGAUACCAAGGUCUCAGGUGAGUUUCCAUGGUUGGCAGUGCUCUGAGUACAACACACUUUAAUGCCAGGAGAGUAACAUUUCUGAGGUGACAGGAGCCUAGCAUUUAGAACUCCCUAGACUGUGCCCUGGGUGUUUCUUCCCUUGGCUGGGCUUUUUUUUUUUUUUUUUUUUUGGUACUGGGGAUUGAACUCGGGACCUUGCACUUUUGAGGCAGGCGGUGGAUGGCUGGGUUUUUUAUUACCAUAAACUGGGUGUGGUGGUGCACACCUGUAAUCCCAGGACUUCAGAAGCUGAGGCAAGAGGAUCACUGAGGAUCACUGUGAGUUCAAGGCCAGCCUGAACUAUAUAGUGAGACCUUGUCUCAAAAAAAAAUUUAUCAUAAAUUGCCACAAUACAACUGUAGUAGCACUUUCUUGAGCUCUGUGAGUCAUUCUAGCAUGUGAUAGAACCUGAGGCUCAUCAUAUAAAUGCCUAAGAGAGGGUGACCCUAGGGAUGCCUGCACUUGUGACCUUCUGAAGACAAGGAAGCCUGGUAGGGACCGUUCCCCCAGACUGUGCCACUUGCUUAAACUCCCUUAUAACUAGUCAACAAUAAAAAGGAACAAACCAUCAAUAAAUGUAUAUGUGGGUGAAUGCUGAAUCAUAUUAUAAAAGAGCUAGGACCCUUUCCCAUAAAGAGUGCACAGUAUAUGGUUACAUUCUUACAGAAUCUUGCUCUAGAUCAGACAGAUCAGUGGUUGUCUGGGCAUGGAGUGGCAUAGGAUAAUUCCAAAAUGGGAUGAGGAACAUUUUGGAGGGUGUAGAUAUGUCAACUGAUUUCCUACUAUCAGAAUUUACCAAACUGUAUAUUUUAAAUAUGUGCAUUUUAUUUAUAUUGAAUAUACUUCUUUACUUUUGCUUUGUUUUGGUUUUUGGUACCAGGGAUUGAACUCAGGUCCUUGCGCUUGUGAGGUAGUUCUUUAUUUUUUUUGUUUUUUUGUUUUGGUACCAGGGAUCUGAACUCGGGUCCUUGAACUUUCGAAGCAGGCAGCGGAACCACUGAGCUAAAUCCCGGCCCUUUUGUUUUGUUUUUUGAGACAAGGUCUCACUAUGUAGUUCAGAUGGGCCUUGAACUAUGUAGCCCAGGUUGACCUCAAACUCACAGCAAUUGUCCUGCCUCAGCCUCUCAAGUGCUAGGCCGAUUAUACUUUUUUUUUUUUGAUACAGGGAAUUGAACUCAGGACCUUGCAAUUACCAGGCAGGGGCGGUGCCACUCAGCUAAAUCCCCAACCUUGAUUAUACUUCUUUAAUAAAGUUUUUAAAAUUUAAAACCUGAUAAUGAGGUUCCAUCUCACAUCAAUUAAAUGAGAAUUUCAGUAGGUGGAGCCCUUGCAUUAGUGUUUUUUUUAAAUACAGUAUUAGUAAUUCUUUUUUUUUUUUUGGUAGCAGGGAUCGAACUCGGGUCCUUGUGCUUGCACAGCAGGCGGCAAAACCACUAAGCUAAGUCCCCAGCCCCAGUAUUAGUAAUUCUAAUGUAAACAAAGGGUGAAAUAACAGCCUGUGGGACAGGUAGAAAAGGUCAAAAGGUAUCAUCUUUAGAAUCACUUCAUUCCUACAAAGUGCACCACAAGUCCCAGUGCAGCCGCUUCUCCACUGUCCAUCACUUUCCCUGUCCAGGUAGGACUUCCCUGUGCCUCUGGGAAACAGCAAAGAAAAGAGACACAAUAGAGCAUUCUUGGUAUUUGGCUCUGAGGCAGGACUCCUCAAGCUGGUGUCCAAGGAGGGACUCCAGGUCUGGUCUGUCAGCAGGCCCACUAAAACUGCAACUGAAGUUAAGGAGCGCAUGAGUUUUUCCAUGGAGAGGGCCCAUAACUGUCAGUGGAUUUGUAAAGAGGUCCAAAGGCCUAAGAAGCACCGUUGGAGCGGCACAAGGAAACAUUACACACGUACUGGGUGCAGGGGUGAGUGGAGAGAAGGGAAACUAAAGGGUUUGGAAGGCUCAGUCACAGGUUGGCCUGCAGCAGUCUGGAGUUGAUUGGCCGUCUCUUGGGAAGUGACUAUUCUCAUCUGGAUCUACUCAGAAUACAGCUACUCAUGCUGCCAGGGCCCGGCUUUCUCCAGCUGGCUUCCAGACUAACCAGCCCACUCUAGUGUCUUGACCUAGCCCUGCCUUUUCCAGGUAAGUGGGCAGGAUUUCCUGAAGCUGAGAGAUCUGGAGGGGCCUCCACCCCUCGGCUCUAAUCAUCUCACACAUGUGGAUGGGGGUGGACACUGGCUCUUCUUGUCCUUCCCAAAGGGGAGUUGUGCCUGUGGCCACAGUGAGCUGUGGAAAGGAAUGAAUUCUUUGGAGCUAAAUUAUGUAUUUAUCUAAGCUGACCUUUUCACCUUGGCUCAGUCCUUAGAGGAGAAACUUCCUGACCUCAGAAUUUCCCUUAAGGACAUGGGACAAAAGAGUUCAAAAGAUCUUCAUAAUAAUUAGUCAUUGUCAGCACUAAGUAGGUAUAAUUUCUAAGAACAUGUUCAACUCAAAGUUUCAAUGAUUCUACCCGUUCUUGGAAAAUUACUAAUGAGAGUUACAAAACAAUGGCACACAGCUCUUGCCCUCAGUUGUGAAGAUAACAUGCACAAGUCACAGUUAAAAAGAAAAGUCUAGUGCCUUUAAUUCUAGCACUGUGGGAGGCUAAGGCAGGAGGAUCCGAAGUUUAAGCCCAACCUGGACAACUUUGCAAUUUAGCAAGAUCCUAUCUCAAAAAUAAAAACUGGAGGGGUUGGGGAUUUAGCUCAGUGGCUCCGAGCCUGCCUUGCAAGUGAAAGGUCCUGCCUUGAGUUGGAAACCCGGUACCAAAAAAAUAAAAAUAAAAAGUAGAGGCAACCCACUUUUGGGUCCCCUCUUGUCUCUCAGGAGCUCUCUCUCUAAAUAAAUUUUUCUAUCCUAAAAUAAAUAAAUAUAUAGGUAAAAACUAAAAAAGGGAGGAGGGGUAUAGCUCAGCAGGAAGGCACUGACUUCAAUCCCUAGUACCACAAAAGAGGGAAGGAAGGAAGGAAGGAGAGGAAGGGAGGAAGGCUAACGUAAAUUUUCUCUAAGACACCAAGGUAAGAAAUAUCCUUCUCAAAUAGGCAAGGUGAAGGAGAGCUUCAAUCAUAUUUUAGGCAGGUCUCACCCCUCUCCAAAGUCAUCUGUAAGAAUAAGAGAAAGACCACUGGUAUCAUCUGUCCACAGAGAUACUGACCUGGUCCACAUGGUCUAGUGUUUCCCAUUCAUGGAGCCCUCUUUGUGCCCUAUGAAACAUAUUCCAUCUUAUCAGAGGUCUUGCUGAUGUGAGUUCUCAUCAAAUCGGCCAUGUUCCUGUCUACUUUCUCCAAUUCCAGGAGAUAAUCACCUUUGUUGAGGUGGAUAGAGCCAGCACACCUCUGCCUCAGCACUAAACCAUUUCACUGCUCCUGACACCUGAGAAGCCCUGGGUCCCCAGUACUAUUUUCUUUUUUUUUUUCUUUUGGUAUCUGGGAUCGCACUCGGGACCUUGCACUUGCCCAGCAGGCAGCGAAACCCAGUACUAUUUUCUUCUUGAAAUGACAAAAGGGAAAUUGCCUCUCAAGAAAAUAAGACCUAAUAGGCACCAGGUACUUUGUUACCUAGUUCUUAAAGCUAUCUUACUUGCAAGAAUCUUCUCUGACUUUAUGGGUGCAGUCUAGGAAACAGUGACACUAUAGGAGAGACAAGUUAAUAGUAGAGACAUGGCAAGCGACUCUUCUGUGACUGCUUCAUGUACUUCGCCUGUGUUGACUUUUGCCAUCCCUAUAACAAUGUGCUAAUCACCCUUUUACCAGUAAAGCAGCAGAGAAGUGGUUACCCACCCAGGUGUAAGCUAGAAAGCCUCAGAGCCAGGAUCCGAACCCAGGCAGUCUUGGCCUUGCAGCCCACGAACUUAGUAACAAUUCUACACCACACAGACAGGAGCCAGCCCAGAACUGAGGAAUGUCUUGGGUAGACUACUACUGGGCAGGCAUCUCAGGAAAAAAGGUUGGAUGAAUAAAGGGUCUUCAAGACAAGGGGAGGAAUCUGAGUUUGUGCUUUAACUAAAAAAUAAUGUCUUUUUGUUCAACCUGUCCACACUAUACCACACAAGUGUUCUUAUUGUAAGAUCCCGGAUAGAGCCCAGAGAGCUCUGAACCCCUGGAAUUUUAGUGUGUAUCAAUGUACUUGUUCUGGGGAGACAGCUUAGGAUUUUUUUCAGGUUCCCAGCCACAUCCUCCAAGGUGGAGAACCUUGGAGUGUGUGUAUCAAUAGAAGAGUCGCUCUGUUUAGCCCUAUAGCUACACUCUUAAACCUCAGAGCCUAUGUCGCUGUAUCUGUAAUGGAGGGAUAAUAGAACCUACCCCUCUGGUUUAGUUGUAAAGUGGAUACAUUAUCACUAUAAAUCAUAGCCAAGUCAUACUAACUAUAUAAAAUUUAUAACAUUAAAAUUGUGCAAAAUAUACAAAUGUUAUAAAUAAAUGUGAGUUAUGAUAACAAAAUGCAUGUUUUUAACAUUUUUCCCAAGGGGAGGAAUGGGA
This 5825-nucleotide long non-coding RNA is filed under the name Heterocephalus glaber (naked mole-rat). RNAcentral describes it as "lncRNA (ENSHGLG00000045216.1)". The record is from RNAcentral. Lineage: Eukaryota; Metazoa; Chordata; Mammalia; Rodentia; Bathyergidae.